AGAACGAACGCUGGCGGCAUGCCUAACACAUGCAAGUCGAACGAUCUCUUCGGAGAUAGUGGCGCACGGGUGCGUAACGCGUGGGAAUCUGCCCUUGGGUUCGGAAUAACAGUUGGAAACGACUGCUAAUACCGGAUGAUGACGUUAAGUCCAAAGAUUUAUCGCCCAGGGAUGAGCCCGCGUAGGAUUAGCUAGUUGGUGAGGUAAAGGCUCACCAAGGCGACGAUCCUUAGCUGGUCUGAGAGGAUGAUCAGCCACACUGGGACUGAGACACGGCCCAGACUCCUACGGGAGGCAGCAGUGGGGAAUAUUGGACAAUGGGCGAAAGCCUGAUCCAGCAAUGCCGCGUGAGUGAUGAAGGCCUUAGGUGUAAAGCUCUUUUACCGGAUGAUAAUGACAGUACGGAGAAUAAGCUCCGGCUAACUCCGCGCCAGCAGCCGC
Molecule: ribosomal RNA, 441 nt
Filed under: uncultured soil bacterium
Lineage: Bacteria
Description: bacterial SSU rRNA
Rfam family: Bacterial small subunit ribosomal RNA
Source: RNAcentral